This 376-nucleotide ribosomal RNA is filed under the name uncultured bacterium. RNAcentral describes it as "bacterial SSU rRNA". It matches the Rfam family "Bacterial small subunit ribosomal RNA", at positions 524 to 898 of the family's 1533-position model. The record is from RNAcentral.
UACGAAGGGAGCUAGCGUUGUUCGGAAUUACUGGGCGUAAAGGGCGCGUAGGCGGCUUAGUCAGUCAGGUGUGAAAUCCCGGGGCUCAACCUCGGAAUUGCGCUUGAUACUGCUUUGCUUGAAUUCGGUAGAGGUGAGUGGAAUUCCCAGUGUAGAGGUGAAAUUCGUAGAUAUUGGGAAGAACACCGGUGGCGAAGGCGGCUCACUGGACCGACAUUGACGCUGAGGCGCGAAAGCGUGGGGAGCAAACAGGAUUAGAUACCCUGGUAGUCCACGCCGUAAACGAUGCAUGCUAGACGUUUGGAGGCUUUAGCCUCUGGGUGUCGCAGUUAACACAUUAAGCAUGCCGCCUGGGGAGUACGGCCGCAAGGUUGAA